This 1002-nucleotide long non-coding RNA is filed under the name Scleropages formosus (Asian bonytongue). Its description in RNAcentral is "lncRNA (ENSSFOG00015031213.1)". The record is from RNAcentral. Lineage: Eukaryota; Metazoa; Chordata; Actinopteri; Osteoglossiformes; Osteoglossidae.
CACAGGUCAAAAGGCUGGAGGGGGAGGGAAUACACCCAGGAUGGGACACCAGUCCAUCACAAGGCACCCCAAGGGGAACUUGAUCCCCAGAUCCACCGGAGAACAGGACCUGCUCCAACCCACCGCACCACCGUGCCCCCAAGGGAUUAGUGAAGUACCGUCCUAUCCCCAUCCUAUCCCGUACACCUCAUUGCAGAAUCCGGGGCUGUCAGGGCGGAGCAGAUCAGAAACGCACCGCAACGUGCCCACCUACGUUCGUGUGUUUGAACCUGGAUCCUGGGGGCCACCCAUCAUCCUCUAUACUCUCUUCCGGGGUUGCACAGACUUUGCCUCUCAUGAAACGGAUGCCAAACACCUAACCCCGUAGGCUGUCUACAUGAGAUGUUGUCAGCUGACAAACAUCCUUUCAUUUGGGUCCUGUUCGGUGAGUGUGUCUGAGAACCCUUGGGAUGCACGAAGUUAUGCCGGUUUCUCCCACCAGGUGAUUGAGGGUUCAAAUAAUGGGCAAAGCCUUUCAGAAAUGUAGCCGACUGGCUGUAUAUAAAAGCUCCAUAAAAAUAAUGUAAGCGAAACGUCACCCGAGACAAGGGCGCACGUUAAUCAAAGGUGCAACUUUUACUGCUGUGUUGAGGGUGCAGUUUGGCUGGAUCGGCGUCGUGCUCGUCAUCGAAAACGCGUUUCUGAAACGAGAGAGGGAGAUGAUCUAACGGUUCGGACCGGCUAAUUUUCCCGGCUGGAGUGAGCCGUGAGAAAACUAGUACCAUUAGCUGGCUCUUUUUUCUCCGUCCUCAGCUUCUUUAUAGCCUUGUUUUCGUUUCCGUUCGAGCGUAGAGGCAGUGUUAUACUUUCGUGAACCCCAGCGCAGUCGAGGCAGGCGCCACUCCAGCGCCGACAAAUCUCCCAUUGCUGCGAAGGUGGAAGUGACACCUGGAACAAAACGUGAUAAGGGGAGGAAAUAUAGGACACCUGGUCGUGCGCUGGUUAGCGUGACUGCCUUUGGAC